CAGUGCUGAUACUCUGGGCUGUCCCUGCCGCAGCAGUGGCUAACAAUUAUCCAUUCCAAGAUUUAGAGCCGGACGUAUCCAGCUUCCAAGACCCUAUGAAGGUUGCAAACAGUACCAGCACUGUUUAUCUUUCGCAUCUUUCCCGUGUACUUGAAGCUCCUCGAAGGACGGAGAUGCCAUGUGUGCGAUCUCGGUAUUUGGGACAAGGCACAAACAAUACAGUUCAUCGGACUCUCGAUGUUUAUUCAAAGAAAAAAAGGUCCCAAACGUUGCCCAGUUCACGAAUCAUUGAGCAGAGGGACAGCGAAGGAGUGAAAGCAAACAAACACAUGAAGCUCCCAUCACAGUAAGUCAUAAAUUUCGCGUAUAUGAGGUCACAAUAAUGACCCUUCUGUCCCAGUAAAAUAAUUGAAGAUCAUUCACGCCAGCCAUCACCAUAGAGAGUGACCAACCGCGACUGCCUACCUAGGAGCCACUCACAGCGACCGCUGUUCGUAUUACGUUGUCCGAUUGGCGCGUUUCCACACCGAGAUUUUUCACGAUCGGCACCGUUCUUUUUGGCAUUCCUCGGUGUCACCCGUGCAUGAGGUUUGGAGAACGCCGAAGCAUUUCUUACGAGUUUUUAAUAGCACAGCUGUUUAAGCCUGCCGUAAAACCUCUGGAGUCCGCACAAAACCACCGGUGAG
Molecule: long non-coding RNA, 686 nt
Organism: Rhipicephalus sanguineus (brown dog tick)
Lineage: Eukaryota; Metazoa; Arthropoda; Arachnida; Ixodida; Ixodidae
Exons: 3
Source: RefSeq, a predicted model, not a curated record